RNAcentral lists this ribosomal RNA (497 nucleotides) under uncultured bacterium. Its description in RNAcentral is "partial 16S ribosomal RNA". It matches the Rfam family "Bacterial small subunit ribosomal RNA", at positions 28 to 507 of the family's 1533-position model. The record is from RNAcentral.
GAUGAACGCUGGCGGCGUGCCUAAUACAUGCAAGUCGAGCGAACGGACGAGAAACUUGCUUUUCUGAUGUUAGCGGCGGACGGGUGAGUAACACGUGGAUAACCUACCUAUAAGACUGGGAUAACUUCGGGAAACCGGAGCUAAUACCGGAUAAUAUUUUGAACCGCAUGGUUCAAAAGUGAAAGACGGUCUUGCUGUCACUUAUAGAUGGAUCCGCGCUGCAUUAGCUAGUUGGUAAGGUAACGGCUUACCAAGGCAACGAUGCAUAGCCGACCUGAGAGGGUGAUCGGCCACACUGGAACUGAGACACGGUCCAGACUCCUACGGGAGGCAGCAGUAGGGAAUCUUCCGCAAUGGGCGAAAGCCUGACGGAGCAACGCCGCGUGAGUGAUGAAGGUCUUCGGAUCGUAAAACUCUGUUAUUAGGGAAGAACAUAUGUGUAAGUAACUGUGCACAUCUUGACGGUACCUAAUCAGAAAGCCACGGCUAACUACGUG